This 468-nucleotide ribosomal RNA is filed under the name uncultured bacterium. Its description in RNAcentral is "partial 16S ribosomal RNA". It matches the Rfam family "Bacterial small subunit ribosomal RNA", at positions 28 to 507 of the family's 1533-position model. The record is from RNAcentral.
GACGAACGCUGGCGGCGUGCUUAACACAUGCAAGUCGAACGGAGAGGCCCUGCUUUUGUGGGGUGCUCGAGUGGCGAACGGGUGAGUAACACGUGAGUAACCUGCCCUUGACUUUGGGAUAACUUCAGGAAACUGGGGCUAAUACCGGAUAGGAGCUCCUGCUGCAUGGUGGGGGUUGGAAAGUUUCGGCGGUUGGGGAUGGACUCGCGGCUUAUCAGCUUGUUGGUGGGGUAGUGGCUUACCAAGGCUUUGACGGGUAGCCGGCCUGAGAGGGUGACCGGCCACAUUGGGACUGCGAUACGGCCCAGACUCCUACGGGAGGCAGCAGUGGGGAAUAUUGCACAAUGGGCGGAAGCCUGAUGCAGCAACGCCGCGUGCGGGAUGACGGCCUUCGGGUUGUAAACCGCUUUCGCCUGUGACGAAGCGUGAGUGACGGUAAUGGGUAAAGAAGCACCGGCUAACUACGUG